GACCAGUCAAUGUUUAUCUCCCCUCCUCUCUCUCAUCUCUCUCCCUCGACAUUUCCUUCCCCCUUCCGUUCGAGCGAACCAGAAGCGGAGGAAGACCAGAAGCUGCAGCUCCGUCGCCGCGACCGCCGCCCGCUCGCCGCUCGUCCCGCCGCCGCACCGCCGCACCGCCGCCCGCGCGCUCGCCGCCGUUCCGCCGUCCGCGCACGCCCAGGCCGCGCGAACCAGCCGCUGUUCGCCUCUGUUCCGCACCGACCAGCCACCGUCCGGCCACCUCCGGCCACCGCCUAGCCCCGCCGGACCUCCCCCGCGACCCCCUCGCCCUCCGCCGGCUUCCCCUUGCCGCCCUAGCCGCC
Molecule: long non-coding RNA, 353 nt
Filed under: Eucalyptus grandis
Lineage: Eukaryota; Viridiplantae; Streptophyta; Magnoliopsida; Myrtales; Myrtaceae
Description: long non-coding RNA (EGRA_LNC007772)
Source: RNAcentral